CAUUAUACAGCGAAACUGCGAAUGGCUCAUUAUAUAAGUUAUCGUUUAUUUGAUAGUACCUUACUACUUGGAUAACCGUGGUAAUUCUAGAGCUAAUACAUGCUAAAAAUCCCGACUUCGGAAGGGAUGUAUUUAUUAUAUUAAAAACCAAUGCCCUUCGGGGCUCACUGGUGAUUCAUAAUAACUUCUCGAAUCGCAUGGCCUUGCGCCGGCGAUGGUUCAUUCAAAUUUCUUCCCUAUCAACUUUCGAUGCUAGAGUAGUGUUCUAGCAUGGUUACAACGGGUAACGGAGGGUUAGGGCUCGACCCCGGAGAAGGAGCCUGAGAAACGGCUACUACAUCCAAGGAAGGCAGCAGGCGCGCAAAUUACCCAAUCCCGACACGGGGAGGUAGUGACGAUAAAUACUGAUACAGGGCUCUUUUGGGUCUUGUAAUUGGAAUGAGUACAAUUUAAAUCCCUUAACGAGGAACAAUUGGAGGGCAAGUCUGGUGCCAGCAGCCGCGGUAAUUCCAGCUCCAAUAGCGUAUAUUAAAGUUGUUGUGGUUAAAAAGCUCGUAGUAGAACCUUGGGCCUGGCUGGCCGGUCCGCCUCACCGCGUGCACUGGUCCGGCCGGGCCUUUCCCUCUGUGGAACCGCAUGCCCUUCACUGGGUGUGCCGGGGAAACAGGACUUUUACUUUGAAAAAAUUAGAGUGCUCCACGCAGGCCUAUGCUCGAAUACAUUAGCAUGGAAUAAUAGAAUAAGACGUGUGGUUCUAUUUUGUUGGUUUCUAAGACCGCCGUAAUGAUUAAUAGGGACAGUCGGGGGCAUCAGUAUUCAAUUGUCAGAGGUGAAAUUCUUGGAUUUAGUGUAGACUAACUACUGCGAAAGCAUUUGCCGAGGAUGUUUUCUUUUUAUCAGGAACGAAAGUUAGGGGAUCGAAGACGAACAGAUAACGUCAUACUCAUACACAUAAACUAUGCCGACUAGGGAU
RNAcentral lists this ribosomal RNA (973 nucleotides) under Phoma sp. ITCC 1763. RNAcentral's name for it is "SSU rRNA". It matches the Rfam family "Eukaryotic small subunit ribosomal RNA", at positions 72 to 1053 of the family's 1831-position model. Lineage: Eukaryota; Fungi; Ascomycota; Dothideomycetes; Pleosporales; Didymellaceae. The record is from RNAcentral.